GGGCAGAGAAGGACAUGAAAUCAGAAGGGAAUUAGGAUGACUGCCUUUCCAGCACUCAGGAUGAGACAUGACUAAUUUUCAUCAUAUGGAAUAAUUAAAGUUUGAGGUUCAAGGAAAAAAAAAAAGUGCUAGCAGCAACACAUCUGAAAAGUCCUUGUACCCAUCUAAAAGUUAAUUCCUCUUCAGUGCUUUACAAGUAACCAAAAACACGAAGCUUAAAAAAAAUAGAGCCUGCAAAGGCCUCUAUUAAAGCUGUUCUUUUUAUAACAGUGCAGUCACAAAUCAAUGCAUUGUUAAUGAAGAGUUUUCCUCUAUAGGCCUGUAGAGUUAUGCAGUCUCGAGAUUUGCUCCCAACAUCUUGCUGGGGGGAAGGGUGGUCCGGGAAUUUACACAAUGGGUGCUUUCAGCUCCAUUUACUUCAGAAGAAUCUUGUGGGAUGACCCAGAAGACAGUCCAGCCUUUUCCUCCUCUUUCCAAAUGUAAGGCCAGCUUGUUUCGAAGAGAAAAGGCUGUACUGAUCUAAUCAAUGAGAUCUUCCUGCAAUUUUUAACAGAACCAAAAAUUCACCUUUUCUUCUUCUGGAAGCACAAACAUGAGGAAACACUAGAGACAAGUAGGGCAAAGCUAUUUUGAAUCCGUCUCCAGCUUUGCCAUUAUGAUGUAACUCCGGGCUCGUUACAGAAUCCCUGUGCCUCAGUGACUGACCUCGUCUGUAAAACGGGAUAAUAGUACCUACCUCAUAGAGUUGUUGCGUGGAUUAAAAUGAAUGAAUCGAUGAAAAGUACACAGAACAGUGUCCAGCAUACAGCUGCCAGGCAUCAGGUAGAUACUACUCAGAAGGGGAGAGUUCCA
Non-coding RNA from Oryctolagus cuniculus (rabbit), 852 nucleotides. The record is from RefSeq and is a predicted model, not a curated record. NCBI's taxonomy places the organism in Eukaryota, Metazoa, Chordata, Mammalia, Lagomorpha, Leporidae.